GAAUGGUGGAUAAAGAUUGCGAAUUUGCACAGCUAUAAAGCUUACUAAUUAAAGACUACAAACACAAAGAGAGCAAGCCUUGUGAUGACUGCACAAUAACGAGGAUUCAGAUACAACGUGGUCGCCACCUGACGCCCACCUCCACAAAAAGCCAUUCUCAAAAGGAGAGAGACAUUCAUAUCCAGAAGAGGGAGUCGGCUGUAGGGUAGAUUCAGACCUUAGUUAUCAAGAGGUUUUAUUAUAGAACCACUAGUAACUCAUAGACUCUUCCUGUUAUGUGAAAUAAAUGAAGACCAGCCAACUAAGAAAGGCAAAGGCUAUGUAUUCUGAGCUCAUCUGGAUCAGAGGAGUCAGCACUGUCAUUUGUGUUUGGCAGAGACUGAAAGAUGUUCGUCUGAAGAUUUCAAAGCCCACUGCUGAUUUAAGGUCAUUCACAUUCAGCCAUGAAGCUGCUCUGAAGACACAGGAACUGCAUAGCUCCCUACUGGGAAUGUCAAGGGCUGUGAAAGGUCUAAGGUUUUAUCCUACUUGCAACCAACAAGCUAUGCAGCCACAGUUUUAUGGAUGCUGUCAAAAGACAUGACACUCCUGGGUUAUUUGCAACUUACCUGGCUAAGCUGAACUCCAGAAUUUGGACUAGAGGCUUCAGGAUGCUGGUGCAGUUCAAGUCUGGUCCACAUGUCUCCUCCUCCUUCGAGGGUCAUUGACUACUUUGUGUAUCUUCUUUUCAUGACAGUUCAUAUGAGUGCAAGAUGGCUCGAUAGACUUGCACACAAGUUUAAAGAUUUUUGUAUACACCUCAUUCCAUUGUUAAAGCAAGUUGCAUGGUCAAAUCUAACAUCUCUGGACAAGGACAUGCAUUCAUACCACUCUACUGCACUGCAAGCUCACGCAGAGGAGCAGAUCAUAAAACGUGAUUGAUGCAUGAUGAUGAUAAUGACCAACCUACCAUCAUGGACAUGACCGUGAAAUAUCAGAGAUGCUUACGUAGAAUUUGGAAAACUUUAAUUUUCACCAAAUACUCAUGUGCUUUGGGCUUACAGCAUAUGAAUUUUGGCAGAAGAGAAGUGAACCAGAAUAGAAGGAGGAGGGGAUAUUUAAUAAGAGAUUACAAAAAUGCUUUCUCUGGGUAAGAGAUGUGGUGAUCGUUCAAUGCAGAGCAGCUGAGGAAGACUUCUGUGUCCAGUGGUGCCACAGGCUGGGUCUUGGACCGACCGUCCCCUUGAAAACAACCGAACAUGUUGGAUAGAACAUGAGAUUACAGAAGGUUACAGGAUAUCAAUGGAGGACUGAGAGGA
Molecule: long non-coding RNA, 1298 nt
Filed under: Homo sapiens (human)
Lineage: Eukaryota; Metazoa; Chordata; Mammalia; Primates; Hominidae
Description: long non-coding RNA NONHSAT156563.1
Source: RNAcentral